Molecule: long non-coding RNA, 2193 nt
Filed under: Canis lupus familiaris (dog)
Lineage: Eukaryota; Metazoa; Chordata; Mammalia; Carnivora; Canidae
Description: lncRNA (ENSCAFG00000055276.1)
Source: RNAcentral
UUUAUUUAUGAGAGAGAGUGCAUGCAAGAGGGGGAGGAGCAGAAGGGAAGGGAGAAAGAAUCUCCAGUCAACUCUGUGCUAAGUGCAGAACUGGAAGCAAGGCUCCAUCUCACAACUCUGAGAUCAUGACCUGAGGCAAAACCAAGAGUUGGAAGCUUAACCAACUGGGCCACGCAGGAACCCCCAGAAGUUCAUUUUUUUAAAAGUGUGUUUUCAGAAAAGUUCCCAUCUCACGCCUGGGUGGCUCAGCAGUUGAGUGUCUGCCUUCACUUCAGGCCAUGAUCCUAGGAUCCAGGAUCGAGUCCUGCCUCGGGCUCCCUGGGGAGCCUACUUCUCCUUCUGCCUGUGUCUUUGCCUGUGUGUCUCUCAUGAAUAAAUAAAUCUUUAAAAAAUAAGUUUCCAUCUCUAGCUUUCUUGAAGAAUUUUUUUAGAGUCUAUCUUAAAGAAAAUGUAGAGAGGUCUCUUCUAAAGAAAUUGAGUAAGAGCAAUACAAAAAAACCUAACAUCAGUAAUAGUAGUUCCAAGAAAAAACAGAAAAAAUAGAAAUAAGGACAUUCUCUUUUUUUUUCCUUAAGAUUUUAUUUAUUUAAUUAUUCAUGAGAGACAGAGAGAGAGAGAGGCAGAGGCACAGGUAGAGGGAGAAGCAGGCUCCCUGCAAGAACCCGGAUGCAGGACUCAAUCCUAGGACCCCAGGACCACGAUGCAAGCCAAAGGCAGACGCACAACCACUGAGCCACGCAGGCACCCCUAGCACUGGGCUUUGCAAUGACACUAUGGGUUGCCAAAAAACCGUGGAAUAAUAUUGUUAAAGUUCUAAUGAAAAAAUGAUUUUGAACCUGGAAUUCUAUAUGCCACCACAAACUAUCAUCCAAAUGUGAUAUAGACUAAAUCCAUUUUCAGAUAUGGAACAGCUUAAAACAAUUUACCUCCCAUACACCGUUUCUUUAAAAAUUUCUUGGGGAUGUAUUCCAGUGAAACAUGGGAAUGAACCAAGAAGGUGAAAAGAAGUCCCAGGAUGACAGCUGUGCAUCUGGCCUUGAGGCAGUUCAAACUGGGAAAGAUGGAUAGAAGGUCUUGCCUGGGGUGCGGCGGAGACUCCAGGAAAAAGCGACACACAAAACCACACCUGAUAUGUAUAGAAAUAAUCAAAAAGUAAAGGUAAGUAGUAUAAGAAAAGGAGGAGUUUUAGAAACUUCAUGGGGAAAAGCUAUACAAGAAAAAUAUAAUCAUAGUAUAAUACCACGUCAAUUCAUAAUUUUCAUAGAGUCACAAUAAUGACAUUUUAUUGCCUUUUGGCUUUUAGGCCUAACCUGUAGGCAACAUAUGGAAAAUUAAAUUGUGACAGAACAGACCAUAAAUGUUAUCAACUGUGACGAUGCAAUGACAAAGUAUAGAAGUUAGUUGGGAAAGAAAGGAGAGGAGAACUAAAUGCCAGGAUACAGUCACUAAUAUCCUCAUCUUACAAGAUGAGCAAUGGAGGAAAAUACCUACAGUGUAUGAAAUUAAAAAUUAAGGUGUGGUAAUACCUUUUAAGUUAUUAGGAAAGUGGGAAGUGGUAUCACUGAAUGAAUAUUUCAUAAUGGCUUUUAUUAUAAAGGAAGCAAAUUUUCAUAAUGUCUAAAAUUGAUAAAUCAAACAAUGAUAGAAAAAGCACAUGUAAAAACAUAAAAGCACUACCAGAUAUUUGUUACCAGUGGUUGAUUCUUGAGAAUGGAGUAAAGGUGGAAUGGAUGGAGCAAGGGAUUCUUACUCUUAGCCAUGUGCCCAUAUUACUUGAAUAAAAAUUAUGUAUAAAUAGAAUAAUAGAUUGAAAGGCAAAUAGACUGGAUUCUUUUUUUUAAACGUAUAGUCAGGUGACAUGGAAUUUGUAAGAUUAAUGUGUCAAGAUAAUUGGAAAGAGAGGAAGUCAGAAACAAGGGUAGUUUCUUUAGGGCAGCUGUGACUACAGGAUCUCUGGCUGUUCUCCAGAGUAUUAGAUUUACUUCUCCCAUAAUGCUGAAUUUUCUGGCUUUAAAGGCCUGUCAACUAGAUAGAUAAUGUAAUCAAUUAUCCCUUUGAGGCAGGAAUUUAUAUCAGUACAAUAAAUUUUAGUCUCUCUGAUGAACAAAGGGCUACAUCACCCAGCUGAAUAGUCAGAGAAUCAGACAAAUCUGAGCAAAGUGGGCAAGGAGAAAGAAUUGAGACAAAGUGCUA